GCCAGGCACGGGGGCGCGCGCCUGUAAUCCCAGCUACUUGGGAGGCUGAGGCAGGAGAAUUGCUUGAACCCGGGAGGCAGAGGGUGCAGUGAGCCGAGAUCACGCCACUGCACUCCAGCCUGGGUGACAGAGCGAGACUCCACCUCAA
Molecule: non-coding RNA, 148 nt
Filed under: Gorilla gorilla gorilla (western lowland gorilla)
Lineage: Eukaryota; Metazoa; Chordata; Mammalia; Primates; Hominidae
Source: Rfam by way of RNAcentral